CUUCUGCUUGUAUCAGUCGGCGGUGAGCUCGUAAACAGAUCACAGCAUCCCCAUGUGGAUGGAUGUUUACUAGAAUGUACACGGACAGAGUUUCCAAUCAGUCUUUGGUUCAGACCAGUAAUAAUGGAAAGAAAUUAAAUGACAAGUGGGGAAACAGUUAUAAUAACGAAUACGGUCAUCUAUGAUCAUUUCUUGCAUGAACUGAACUGAAAGACAACACAUUGUAACACGGGCAACGUCUGGCAACUAACGGCUUGGGAGGGACUGGUGUGAUAGUGUGUGCAAUGAACCAGAGAAUGCAGUUAUGAGCAAUUAUAAAGAGUGUUAUUGAAAAUCACUGUAAUGCACUUGAAACAGAGUUUGCACUUAUUCAAAGUGCACUUAUCAGGAGUGAAGUGUAUAUCACUACUUUCCAAUCAAUUUGAACACAAUCAUGAAUGCGCAGCAUUACAGUUUUUCCCCAAGUGUUAACACACUAAAAUUGGAACUUGAAAUGCAAUCACCGAAACCUGAAACUCAUGUACCAAAUCCCUAAACCAAGUCUGCAAAAUUGCAAGCACAAUUCGCUCUUUACACUCCGUUUUCAAUUCUAUAUCACACUUUUUGCAAAACACUACACACAGUUCUUUAAAUUAGGUACAACAUUACAAAUGAAAAUCUAUUUUUGUUCCCUUUGGAAAGCAACCAAUCACAAUGCCAAGCUCUAUACACCAAUUGGCAACACCCACUCCUCACAGGUGUAAACAUCAGUUGCUGAGUUGUUCGCUUAGAAAUCAGAGCUUUAGUGCUAUAAAAGGCCACAGAUGAGCUCUCCUGUUUUGGAGGAAAAUGGAAGUCAAUGGUGAAGGAGUGGGAGAACGAGGAAGGACCGUUGUCUCAGAUGAGAUCAGCACCACAUUGGUUGACCAUGUGCUCAACCAUGGAUUGAGUUUGAGGGAGGCUGGGCAGAGAGUUCAGCCCAACCUGAGCCGCUACACGGUUGCAUCUAUCAUCCGUACAUUCAGAAAUGAGAACCGGUAAGAUACCUACCAUCUACACUAUGCCAGUAGGCCUAUGUUACUCAGUGAUUGUUGGCCAAUGUUACAGUAAUGUCAUUUCAUAUAGAACGAAAAUAGAUUAUUUUAGCUUCCUGAAACCAAUCAUAUCAUAUUUGGGGAUCUGAGAGAUGGCCAGGCCGUGGUGGAAGACACCAGCUGUUCACACCAGAACAGGAGACCGCUAUUGUGAACAUGGUGGUGGCAAACAAUACCAUUCGACUAGGAGAAAUCCAGAACCACAUAAUUGCAGACAACACAAUAUUCAAUAACAUUCACCAGGUGGGCUUGUCUCCAUUGGACCGUGUAUUACAGCGCAACCGAAUCCGGAUGAAACGGGUCUACAGGUGGGCUUGUCUACAUUGGACCGUGUAUUACAGCGCAACCGAAUCCGGAUGAAACGGGUCUACAGGGGGCCAUUUGAGCAAAACUCAAGAGGGAUAAAGAACAGCGCUAUGGAUAUGUGCAAAGUCUUGGAGCUGGAUGCUGCUGCAAUUCAGCACGUUUAUAUGUACAUUGAGUCUGGCUUCAAACUAGCCAAAAGACAGGGAUGGAACAUUAUUGGCCACCGUGCCAUUGUGAAUGUCCCUGGACAGCGUGGAGGGAAUAUCACCAUGUGCGCAGCCGUUGGCCAGCAAGGCGUCCCCCAUCACCACGCCAACCUUGGCCCCUACAACACCGCCCUUCUCAUUACAUUCCUGGACACACUACAUGGCAUCCUCAUUCCAGAUGAGCAGAGGGGUGGACCAGAGCAACUGGUUGAUCGACCACCCACAAUUUAUUGUCCUAUACCUCCCACCAUAUUCCCCAUUCCUAAACCCAAUUGGAGAGAUUUUUUGGCAUGGCGACGGAAGGUGUAUGACCGCCAUCCCCUCACCCGCAUGCCUCUUCUCCAGGCAAUGGAGGAUGCAUGAGGUGAAGUUGAUGUGGGGGGGGCUUUCGUUGGCUGGAUCUGUCACUCCAGAAGAUUCUUUCCCUGUUGUUUAGCCAGGGAGAACAUCGCUUGUGAUGUAGAUGAGGUGCUGUGGCCAGACCAAAAUAUGAUGCAGUAUAAUGUCGUUGUUUUUACAUUUGCAUGUGUUUUUGUGUUUAGAGUUUUGAAAGAAUGAGCCUAUUUUAUUUUUGCACAGAAAACCCUUUAUCUUACUGGAUGUUUUUCCUGGUUUUCUCCUGUUGGGUAUGGAAAGUGUUACAUACAAAACACAAGUGAUCAAAAAUAAUUCAUUUUGGAAAUAAAUUACUAUGUUUUUGGUA
Molecule: long non-coding RNA, 2288 nt
Organism: Oncorhynchus nerka (sockeye salmon)
Lineage: Eukaryota; Metazoa; Chordata; Actinopteri; Salmoniformes; Salmonidae
Exons: 2
Source: RefSeq, a predicted model, not a curated record